UACGUACUGUGCGAACGUUAUUCGGAAUCACUGGGCUUAAAGGGUGCGUAGGCGGCGAACUAAGUAGGGUGUGAAAUCCCAUGGCUCAACCAUGGAACUGCGCUCUAAACUGGUUUGCUUGAGUUAGAUAGGGGUGUGCGGAACUUCAAGUGGAGCGGUGAAAUGUGUAGAUAUUUGAAGGAACACCGGUGGCGAAAGCGGCACACUGGGUCUUAACUGACGCUGAGGCACGAAAGCCAGGGUAGCGAACGGGAUUAGAUACCCCCGUAGUCC
This 273-nucleotide ribosomal RNA is filed under the name uncultured bacterium. RNAcentral's name for it is "partial 16S ribosomal RNA". It matches the Rfam family "Bacterial small subunit ribosomal RNA", at positions 524 to 796 of the family's 1533-position model. The record is from RNAcentral.